This 500-nucleotide ribosomal RNA is filed under the name uncultured bacterium. RNAcentral describes it as "partial 16S ribosomal RNA". It matches the Rfam family "Bacterial small subunit ribosomal RNA", at positions 30 to 523 of the family's 1533-position model. The record is from RNAcentral.
AUUGAACGCUGGCGGCAGGCCUAACACAUGCAAGUCGAGCGGAUGAAGGUAGCUUGCUACCUGAUUCAGCGGCGGACGGGUGAGUAAUGCCUAGGAAUCUGCCUGGUAGUGGGGGACAACGUUUCGAAAGGAACGCUAAUACCGCAUACGUCCUACGGGAGAAAGUGGGGGAUCUUCGGACCUCACGCUAUCAGAUGAGCCUAGGUACGAUUAGCUAGUUGGUGAGGUAAAGGCUCACCAAGGCGACGAUCGUUAACUGGUCUGAGAGGAUGAUCAGUAACACUGGAACGGGGACACGGUCCAGACUCCUACGGGAGGCAGCAGUGGGGAAUAUUGGACAAUGGGCGAAAGCCUGAUCCAGCCAUGCCGCGUGUGUGAAGAAGGUCUUCGGAUUGUAAAGCACUUUAAGUUGGGAGGAAGGGCAGUAAGUUAAUACCUUGCUGUUUUGACGUUACCGACAGAAUAAGCACCGGCUAACUUCGUGCCAGCAGCCGCCGUAA